GUUAUUGUUCAUUUUCAAAAUUUAGGCUUGUCAAGUGAUCUGGAUUGUUCACAUUUGUGUCAUAAUAGUUUAUGUAUAAAUGUAGACCAUAUAAGUUUAGAACCCCAUUUUAUUAACAAUAAUAGACAGUAUUGUUUAAAUUCAAACAUUUGUCAUGGUCAUGUAGGUUUUAGGGACUGUUUGUUAAAUUUGAAAAUUUGAAAUAUUUUUUUUUAAUUUUAUUUUUUGAGGGUAUUAGCUAUUGUAUCCGGAGACACAAUAUUCCCGACCACCGCCACGGGGAGGCUCCCUCUUUAGAUGAUCCUGAAGCUGAUUGUCUCCCCUGCCAUGUUGCUGAAUGACUGGAUCUAGCUGCCCUCUCCUGUAGUCGGACUUUCGAGCGGACUUGGACCUUUUCUUAUGAUCUUUAUGCUGUGCUGCCAGUCUUGAUAGAGCUCUCUUCUUCACUUCAGGAGCUCCAAUACCAACAUCUGGUCAUCUGGCGUCAUCUGAAGAUGAUGUAUCUGGUUCGAACUGAGGAACAUUGAGCGCACCCACCAGUUGUCACCGUCAUCUCCAGAGCACACCUCGGAGUGCUGACUACACUUGGAACAGUCCCCUGAAUAGCACGACACGGUGGCAUCUAACACAUCAGUCUCCGAGUCUGACGAGGCGGUUGAUGCAUGUAUUGUACAGGGUCUAUCUUCGGUGUCCACUGCUACAUUGGAUUGACUUUCCGGUCUUGGUGUUGUCACCAGCUGAGAUACUUUGGUGACGGUCAGUCUUCUGGUCAGAACUGGGGUCACCUCUGUGUUGACAGAUGAUCCUGAAGCUGAUUGUCUCCCCUGCCAUGUUGCUGAAUGACUGGAUCUAGCUGCCCUCUCCUGUAGUCGGACUUUCGAGCGGACUUGGACCUUUUCUUAUGAUCUUUAUGCUGUGCUGCCAGUCUUGAUAGAGCUCUCUUCUUCACUUCAGGAGCUCCAAUACCAACAUCUGGUCAUCUGGCGUCAUCUGAAGAUGAUGUAUCUGGUUCGAACUGAGGAACAUUGAGCGCACCCACCAGUUGUCACCGUCAUCUCCAGAGCACACCUCGGAGUGCUGACUACACUUGGAACAGUCCCCUGAAUAGCACGACACGGUGGCAUCUAACACAUCAGUCUCCGAGUCUGACGAGGCGGUUGAUGCAUGUAUUGUACAGGGUCUAUCUUCGGUGUCCACUGCUACAUUGGAUUGACUUUCCGGUCUUGGUGUUGUCACCAGCUGAGAUACUUUGGUGACGGUCAGUCUUCUGGUCAGAACUGGGGUCACCUCUGUGUUGACAGAUGAUCCUGAAGCUGAUUGUCUCCCCUGCCAUGUUGCUGAAUGACUGGAUCUAGCUGCCCUCUCCUGUAGUCGGACUUUCGAGCGGACUUGGACCUUUUCUUAUGAUCUUUAUGCUGUGCUGCCAGUCUUGAUAGAGCUCUCUUCUUCACUUCAGGAGCUCCAAUACCAACAUCUGGUCAUCUGGCGUCAUCUGAAGAUGAUGUAUCUGGUUCGAACUGAGGAACAUUGAGCGCACCCACCAGUUGUCACCGUCAUCUCCAGAGCACACCUCGGAGUGCUGACUACACUUGGAACAGUCCCCUGAAUAGCACGACACGGUGGCAUCUAACACAUCAGUCUCCGAGUCUGACGAGGCGGUUGAUGCAUGUAUUGUACAGGGUCUAUCUUCGGUGUCCACUGCUACAUUGGAUUGACUUUCCGGUCUUGGUGUUGUCACCAGCUGAGAUACUUUGGUGACGGUCAGUCUUCUGGUCAGAACUGGGGUCACCUCUGUGUUGACAGGUUUGUCCCUUACAUCUUGGAGAACUAGGCCUUUAUUCUUGGGGGUGUGUCCAGGUUUGAAAUGGUUAUUUCUUCUCUUUCUGUCUCCCUUCAUACUUGUAUUGGUCAGUAUUGGUCAGUAGUGGUCAGUGGUGGUCAGUGGUGGUCAGAUGUGUUCGGAGUACAAAACUGAAGUGAAGCUGAACACUGAUCUGGUAAUUGUGAUAUACACAUCAGUGCCUGUUUGAUAAUUGACUUCAAAGGUGUUUUGAGAAACAAUUGAGAGAGGCUAGUAUAUUAUCAUUAAACAGAUAUGCCCAUUAAGCCCCCCUCCCCCACCCCCACCCCUUCCCUGCCUCA
Long non-coding RNA from Pecten maximus, 2142 nucleotides. RefSeq lists it as uncharacterized. Lineage: Eukaryota; Metazoa; Mollusca; Bivalvia; Pectinida; Pectinidae. The transcript has 10 exons. The record is from RefSeq and is a predicted model, not a curated record.